This 376-nucleotide ribosomal RNA is filed under the name uncultured bacterium. Its description in RNAcentral is "bacterial SSU rRNA". It matches the Rfam family "Bacterial small subunit ribosomal RNA", at positions 524 to 898 of the family's 1533-position model. The record is from RNAcentral.
AACGUAGGAGGCGAGCGUUAUCCGGAUUCACUGGGCGUAAAGCGCGUGCAGGCGGUUCGGUAAGUUGGGCGUGAAAUCUCCCGGCUCAACUGGGAGAGGUCGUCCAAUACUACCGGACUUGAGAGUGAUAGAGGAAGAUGGAAUUCCCGGUGUAGUGGUGAAAUGCGUAGAUAUCGGGAGGAACACCAGUGGCGAAAGCGGUCUUCUGGAUCAUUUCUGACGCUCAGACGCGAAAGCUAGGGUAGCAAACGGGAUUAGAGACCCCGGUAGUCCUAGCCGUAAACGAUGUGAACUUGGCGUUGGUGCCUUAAACAGCAUCAGUGCCGAAGCAAACGCGAUAAGUUCACCGCCUGGGGACUACGAUCGCAAGAUUAAA